AUGCUUCAGGAGUAUAACGAAAAAGGGUUUCUCCGCCUUGUAUUAGAAAGCAUCCAUCCGAAACAAAUAACGAUAGGUACCUGGGAUGGAAGCAGCACAGUCACGUUCAAAAAAAAUGAAAUAGAAAAUACAAAAGAAAAAAAUGCCGAUAACGGCGGAUCGACAAAAACGCGAAGCCUCGCGACCGCUGCGUCCACGGAAGAUCGCUCACCAAGCUCCGAGACUCCCAAGCGCCGGUAUCAAACAACAUCUCCAGGAAGAUCCGGCGGCACCCUCACGCGCCACCGCGUCGGUGUUGGUCAAGCCAACAGAGAUUUCUCCCGAUCCCAACCUUCACCUCAGGCACUCCGGAGCUCGCCACCAAACCGACCUUCGCCCUGCGCCAACACGGUCAUGAAGUUUCCGACGCUGUCUCACCACAGCACCACGAAGUAUGGCCUGCACAACAAAGAAGAGGAACCGAGACUAGGGCAGCAGCACCAUCAGCACGCGGGAGGGCUCCACCUCCACCGUCUACGACGGUAG
RNAcentral lists this ribosomal RNA (525 nucleotides) under Triticum aestivum (bread wheat). RNAcentral's name for it is "partial small subunit ribosomal RNA". Lineage: Eukaryota; Viridiplantae; Streptophyta; Magnoliopsida; Poales; Poaceae. The record is from RNAcentral.